UACGUAGGGUGCGAGCGUUGUCCGGAAUUACUGGGCGUAAAGAGCUCGUAGGUGGUUUGUCGCGUUGUUCGUGAAAACCGGGGGCUUAACCCUCGGCGUGCGGGCGAUACGGGCAGACUUGAGUACUGCAGGGGAGACUGGAAUUCCUGGUGUAGCGGUGGAAUGCGCAGAUAUCAGGAGGAACACCGGUGGCGAAGGCGGGAUCCUGGGCCAGUACUGACGCUGAGGAGCGAAAGCGUGGGGAGCAAACGGG
Molecule: ribosomal RNA, 253 nt
Filed under: uncultured bacterium
Lineage: Bacteria
Description: partial 16S ribosomal RNA
Rfam family: Bacterial small subunit ribosomal RNA
Source: RNAcentral